This 72-nucleotide transfer RNA is filed under the name Phytophthora infestans (potato late blight agent). It matches the Rfam family "tRNA". Rfam says of the family: Transfer RNA (tRNA) molecules are approximately 80 nucleotides in length. Their secondary structure includes four short double-helical elements and three loops (D, anti-codon, and T loops). Lineage: Eukaryota; Oomycota; Peronosporomycetes; Peronosporales; Peronosporaceae. RNAcentral also lists the same sequence under 1 other name. The record is from Rfam by way of RNAcentral.
CCGCUUUUAGCUCAGUGGUCGAGCGUUGGCUUUGGAAGCCACAGGUCGGGGGUUCGAGACCACCAGGGCACA